AGUGAACGCUGGCGGUAGGCCUAACACAUGCAAGUCGAACGGCAGCACAGUAAGAGCUUGCUCUUACGGGUGGCGAGUGGCGGACGGGUGAGGAAUACAUCGGAAUCUACUUUUUCGUGGGGGAUAACGUAGGGAAACUUACGCUAAUACCGCAUACGACCUACGGGUGAAAGCAGGGGAUCUUCUGACCUUGCGCGAUUGAAUGAGCCGAUGUCGGAUUAGCUAGUUGGCGGGGUAAAGGCCCACCAAGGCGACGAUCCGUAGCUGGUCUGAGAGGAUGAUCAGCCACACUGGAACGGAGACACGGUCCAGACUCCUACGGGAGGCAGCAGUGGGGAAUAUUGGACAAUGGGCGCAAGCCUGAUCCAGCCAUACCGCGUGUGUGAAGAAGGCCUUCGGGUUGUAAAGCCCUUUUGUUGGGAAAGAAAAGCAGCAGGUUAAUACCCCGCUGUUCUGACGGUACCCAAAGAAUAAGCACCGGCUAACUUCGUG
RNAcentral lists this ribosomal RNA (492 nucleotides) under uncultured bacterium. RNAcentral describes it as "partial 16S ribosomal RNA". It matches the Rfam family "Bacterial small subunit ribosomal RNA", at positions 29 to 507 of the family's 1533-position model. The record is from RNAcentral.